This 253-nucleotide ribosomal RNA is filed under the name uncultured bacterium. RNAcentral describes it as "partial 16S ribosomal RNA". It matches the Rfam family "Bacterial small subunit ribosomal RNA", at positions 524 to 776 of the family's 1533-position model. The record is from RNAcentral.
UACGUAGGGUGCAAGCGUUGUCCGGAAUUAUUGGGCGUAAAGAGCUCGUAGGCGGUUUGUCGCGUCUGCUGUGAAAACCCGAGGCUCAACCUCGGGCCUGCAGUGGGUACGGGCAGACUAGAGUGCGGUAGGGGAGAUUGGAAUUCCUGGUGUAGCGGUGGAAUGCGCAGAUAUCAGGAGGAACACCGAUGGCGAAGGCAGGUCUCUGGGCCGCAACUGACGCUGAGGCGCGAAAGCUAGGGGAGCAAACGGG